UACGUAGGCAGCAAGCGUUGUUCGGAAUUACUGGGCGUAAAGAGUGUGUAGGCGGUGUUCUAAGUUUGGUGUGAAAUCUCCCGGCUCAACCGGGAGGGUGCGCCGAAAACUGGAAUGCUAGAGUAUGGGAGAGGUAAGCGGAAUUCCUGGUGUAGCGGUGAAAUGCGUAGAUAUCAGGAGGAACACCUGUGGUGUAGACAGCUUACUGGACCAUCACUGACGCUGAGACACGAAAGCGUGGGUAGCAAACAGG
This 253-nucleotide ribosomal RNA is filed under the name uncultured bacterium. Its description in RNAcentral is "partial 16S ribosomal RNA". It matches the Rfam family "Bacterial small subunit ribosomal RNA", at positions 524 to 776 of the family's 1533-position model. The record is from RNAcentral.